Physella acuta is the source of this 150-nucleotide long non-coding RNA. RefSeq lists it as uncharacterized. NCBI's taxonomy places the organism in Eukaryota, Metazoa, Mollusca, Gastropoda, Physidae. The record is from RefSeq and is a predicted model, not a curated record.
ACUCCAUACUCCAGCUGACUUGGCUAUUCUCAAUCCUCGGGUGUUGAUAGCUGACUUGGCUAUUCUCAAGCUUCAAGUGUCUAUAGCUGAUAAACAAGUUAAAUUAACCAACAAAAUGUCGGUGAAAUUUGGCGGGAUUUUGGCAGGACU